Molecule: ribosomal RNA, 292 nt
Filed under: uncultured Planctomycetota bacterium
Lineage: Bacteria; Pseudomonadati; Planctomycetota
Description: uncultured planctomycete partial 16S ribosomal RNA
Source: RNAcentral
GGACUACAAGGGUAUCUAAUCCCCUUCGCUCCCCUAGCUUUCGUUUCUCAGCGUCAGAAGAGACCCAGUAAGCCGCUUUCGCCACCGGUGUUCCUGAUGAUAUCAACGCAUUUCACCGCUCCACCAUCAGUUCCGCUUACCUCUGUCUCCCUCAAGCACUGCAGUAUCGGGCGCAGUUCCAGGGUUGAGCCCUGGGAUUUCACACCCGACUAACAGCGCCGCCUACAAACCCUUUAAGCCCAGUAAUUCCGAAUAACGUUUGGACGGUACGUAUUACCGCGGCUGCUGGCAC